GGAACAAUAGUUUAACUGGAAAAACACUCCGAGCUGAGGUUGAGUUGCCGGUUCGAUCCCGGUUUGUUUCU
This 71-nucleotide transfer RNA is filed under the name Chryseobacterium sp. RNAcentral's name for it is "tRNA-OTHER". It matches the Rfam family "tRNA". From Rfam's summary of the family: Transfer RNA (tRNA) molecules are approximately 80 nucleotides in length. Their secondary structure includes four short double-helical elements and three loops (D, anti-codon, and T loops). The record is from RNAcentral. Lineage: Bacteria; Pseudomonadati; Bacteroidota; Flavobacteriia; Flavobacteriales; Weeksellaceae.